CAAGGUAGCGUAAUCACUUGUCCCCUAAAUAGGGACCAGUAUGAACGGCUGCAUGAGGACCAAACUGUCUCCUUUGACCAAUCAAUGAACCUGAUCUCUCAGUACAAAAGCCGAGAUAACACCAUAAGACAAGAAGACCCUGUGGAGCUUAAAAUACCAAUACUAACCACCGACCUCCCCCACUGGGCCCACACCACCAAAAUAGUGUACAUUUUUAGUUGGGGCGACUGCGGAACCAAACAAAACUUCCAUGACACAAGACCACCCGUCAACCCAAGGUCAACAAACCUACACACCACUUGACCCAGUAGCACUGACCAACGAACCAAGUUACCCCAGGGAUAACAGCGCCAUCCUCUUCAAGAGCCCAUAUCGCCAAGAGGGUUUACGACCUCGAUGUUGGAUCAGGACCCCCAGGUGGUGCAACCGCUACCAACGGUUCGUUUGUUCAACGAUUAACAGUCCUACGUGAUCUGAGUC
This 480-nucleotide ribosomal RNA is filed under the name Sphaerodactylus monensis (Mona least gecko). RNAcentral describes it as "partial 16S ribosomal RNA". It matches the Rfam family "Bacterial large subunit ribosomal RNA", at positions 1952 to 2611 of the family's 2925-position model. Lineage: Eukaryota; Metazoa; Chordata; Lepidosauria; Squamata; Sphaerodactylidae. The record is from RNAcentral.